CUAUUUUUCCCACAUAUGGAAUUUCCUGUCACAAAAUAUGAUUGUAAAAAAAUGGCAAACGUGAAAAAAAAUAGUCGGAGUAACAUCAAAGAAAUAACGGUUAAAAAAUUAAUGAUAUGUAAAUUCGUGACUCGUCCGUAAAACGCAAAAGACAUCGGCAAUGCAGAUACUUCGUGGAUCAAUGAAAGUUCCAUUAAAGUGUAGCAGUGGAGACGAUGUUGGAAUACGCCGAUCACACCUGUAAUAUCACCAAUGCGCAACGCGAAGACGGCCGGCGCCUUCC
This is a long non-coding RNA of Trachymyrmex septentrionalis, 283 nucleotides long. RefSeq lists it as uncharacterized. Lineage: Eukaryota; Metazoa; Arthropoda; Insecta; Hymenoptera; Formicidae. The record is from RefSeq and is a predicted model, not a curated record. The transcript is spliced from 3 exons.